GGGGAAUUUUGAUGUAUCACAAAAACCAGCAUCCAGUUGAUGUGACUCUUCUUCCAGGGUCCUGCCCACAAGAAAGAUUGUGACAUCUCACUGGACAAGCACCCACCCAGACUCUGCCAAGAGAGGGGAUUAUUACAUAUUGCAGAGCCCAGCACCUAGGUGGAGUGACUCUCAUCUUUUUCUUCUACCCCGUAUAUAGCCAGCUUGGUGACCUACUAUUUGAGUCUAUACCCAGGCCCAGACCACAGAUGAAAUUGUGCAAUAUGUGGAACAAACACCUAAACAAUAUAUAACACCUUCCUUGGCUCUGUCUACAAAGGGCACUUUUAUAUAUCACUGGGACCAUCAACCAGGUGAUGUUAAUUAUCUUCCUGAAACCUGUCUACAAAGAGAGUUGUGUCGUAUACCUAGGCCCGUCAUGUGAUAUAACCCUCUUCUCUGGAAUGGGCCCCACACAAAGGAAGGAUAGUGACAUAUUGCAAGCCCAGGCACACAGGCCCAGAGCACAGUUGAAAUUGUGACAUAUGUACACCAAGCAACCAAGCAAUGUAUAACACCUCAUUUGGCAAUGGAAUCGAGGGCACUUUUACAUAUCACUGAGACCAGCGCCCAGCUGAUGUGAAAUAUUGGCCUGAACCCUGCCUACAAAAGCAUUGUGGCUUUUAUCUAGCUCCAUUACAUAAGUGAUGUGACU
RNAcentral lists this long non-coding RNA (694 nucleotides) under Homo sapiens (human). RNAcentral's name for it is "long intergenic non-protein coding RNA 293". The record is from RNAcentral. Lineage: Eukaryota; Metazoa; Chordata; Mammalia; Primates; Hominidae.